This 253-nucleotide ribosomal RNA is filed under the name uncultured bacterium. Its description in RNAcentral is "partial 16S ribosomal RNA". It matches the Rfam family "Bacterial small subunit ribosomal RNA", at positions 524 to 776 of the family's 1533-position model. The record is from RNAcentral.
UACGUAGGGUGCGAGCGUUGUCCGGAAUUAUUGGGCGUAAAGAGCUCGUAGGCGGCCGGUUGCGUCUGCUGUGAAAUCCUGGGGCUUAACCCCGGGCGUGCAGUGGAUACGGGCCGGCUGGAGGCAGGCAGGGGAGAAUGGAAUUCCCGGUGUAGCGGUGAAAUUCGUAGAUAUUAGGAAGAACACCAGUGGCGAAGGCGGCUCGCUGGCCCGGUACUGACGCUGAGGCGCGAAAGCGUGGGGAGCAAACAGG